UUUUUUUGGAGAGUUUGAUCCUGGCUCAGGACGAACGCUGGCGGCGUGCUUAACACAUGCAAGUCGAACGGGGUGUUUAUUUCGGUAAACACCAAGUGGCGAACGGGUGAGUAACGCGUAAGCAAUCUACCUUCAAGAUGGGGACAACACUUCGAAAGGGGUGCU
Molecule: ribosomal RNA, 165 nt
Filed under: Megamonas sp. Calf98-2
Lineage: Bacteria; Bacillati; Bacillota; Negativicutes; Selenomonadales; Selenomonadaceae
Description: 16S rRNA. Bacterial SSU
Rfam family: Bacterial small subunit ribosomal RNA
Source: RNAcentral